AAAAGGAAUAAAAAAGGCAGAGAGGAAAAAGAAAGAAGAAGAAAUCAUGCAUGGUGGUUUGUGUUCUAUAUGAAUGACUGGAUGAACAUGUGAUCAUGUAAUCUGUGGGCUAGCUAGGAUUCUAAAAGGAAAAAAACUCUGAACAAAGAGAGGGAUGAUGAUAUCAGGACACCAAUGGACAGCCUCCAAACUCCAGAUUUUUCGUGCAUCACAGACCAUCCUUUUGGUGCCUUUCCAACUCUGCGGGAUGAAACUUCCCAUGGCUGCUGAAGCGAUGAUCUAAAAAACUUCUGCUUCUUGAGAAAGCCCAAUACCCUCCGGCUCAGGGGUGUCAGGAUGGGAUGGAAUAUGCAGCUCUCAGAGCCCACUGAAGCUUUCCAUCAACAUCCCAAUGUUCUAGAAACUGACUGCUCCUGCCAGUGCAUUGGCUUAUUUCCAUCAUUUCACCACCACAUUCUCAAGGUGGGUCCCUGUGCUUAUCCACUGAAGAGUCAACAGUGUUACUUUUUUUAAUACUUGGUCAAAUUAAU
This is a long non-coding RNA of Passer domesticus (house sparrow), 530 nucleotides long. RefSeq lists it as uncharacterized. NCBI's taxonomy places the organism in Eukaryota, Metazoa, Chordata, Aves, Passeriformes, Passeridae. The record is from RefSeq and is a predicted model, not a curated record. The transcript is spliced from 3 exons.